GUCUCUGUGGCGCAUCCGGCCAGCGCGCUUCGGCUGUUAACCGCAAAGGUUGGUGGUUCGAGCCCACCCAGGGACG
Ameiurus melas (black bullhead) is the source of this 76-nucleotide non-coding RNA. The record is from the annotation of a GenBank genome assembly. NCBI's taxonomy places the organism in Eukaryota, Metazoa, Chordata, Actinopteri, Siluriformes, Ictaluridae.